UACGGAGGGGGCUAGCGUUGUUCGGAAUUACUGGGCGUAAAGCGCGCGUAGGCGGACCUGUAAGUCGGGGGUGAAAUCCCGAGGCUCAACCUCGGAACUGCCUUCGAUACUGCGGGUCUCGAGUCCGGGAGAGGUGAGUGGAAUUCCUAGUGUAGAGGUGAAAUUCGUAGAUAUUAGGAAGAACACCAGUGGCGAAGGCGGCUCACUGGCCCGGUACUGACGCUGAGGCGAGAAAGCGUGGGGAGCAAACAGG
RNAcentral lists this ribosomal RNA (253 nucleotides) under uncultured bacterium. RNAcentral's name for it is "partial 16S ribosomal RNA". It matches the Rfam family "Bacterial small subunit ribosomal RNA", at positions 524 to 776 of the family's 1533-position model. The record is from RNAcentral.